RNAcentral lists this ribosomal RNA (498 nucleotides) under uncultured bacterium. RNAcentral describes it as "partial 16S ribosomal RNA". It matches the Rfam family "Bacterial small subunit ribosomal RNA", at positions 899 to 1397 of the family's 1533-position model. The record is from RNAcentral.
ACUCAAAGGAAUUGACGGGGGCCCGCACAAGCGGUGGAGUAUGUGGUUUAAUUCGAUGCUACGCGAAAAACCUUACCUGGGCUUGACAUCCCGCGCUACCAGCAGAGACGCUGGGUUCCCUUUGGGGACGCGGAGACAGGUGCUGCAUGGCUGUCGUCAGCUCGUGUUGUGAGAUGUUGGGUUAAGUCCCGCAACGAGCGCAACCCUCGCCCUUAGUUACCAUCAUUAAGUUGGGCACUCUAAGGGUACCGCUUGGCUAUAAGCCAGAGGAAGGUGGGGAUGACGUCAAGUCCUCAUGGCCUUUAUGUCCAGGGCUACACACGUACUACAAUGGGCGCCACAAUGCGUCGCAAGCUCGCAAGAGCAAGCUAAUCGCAAAAAAGCACCCUCAGUUCGGAUUGGAGUCUGCAACUCGACUCCAUGAAGCUGGAAUCGCUAGUAAUCGUGGAUCAGCAUGCCACGGUGAAUACGUUCCCGGGCCUUGCACACACCGCCCGU